GCUGAAUCUUUUUGACAGAUGUGCGCGCGUGUUUAUAAUAAAUAUUUACGAUCGUAAUAUUUUAUAAAUUUGUGGCAUUGUUCUUCGCAUUUCUGUCAUCGUCAAUAACGGAAUGAAGUCUAUACAAGAUGAAAGGAGCAUUAAUAAUGAAAGAAGUAAAUGGAAAAUAGACAAAUAUAUAUCAGAUAAAUAGCAAAUAUUCUCAUGAAAGAAAAGAUUAUCUUCCUAGCUAACCAGGAGUGCUUGUAAAAUGUCAGUAGCCAGAGGAACAAUAAGGAA
Long non-coding RNA from Harpegnathos saltator (Jerdon's jumping ant), 279 nucleotides. RefSeq lists it as uncharacterized. The record is from RefSeq and is a predicted model, not a curated record. NCBI's taxonomy places the organism in Eukaryota, Metazoa, Arthropoda, Insecta, Hymenoptera, Formicidae. The transcript is spliced from 3 exons.